Molecule: ribosomal RNA, 519 nt
Filed under: uncultured eukaryote
Lineage: Eukaryota
Description: SSU rRNA
Rfam family: Eukaryotic small subunit ribosomal RNA
Source: RNAcentral
AGGGCACCACCAGGAGUGGAGCCUGCGGCUUAAUUUGACUCAACACGGGAAAACUUACCCGGCCCGGACACUGGCAGGAUUGACAGAUUGAUAGCUCUUUCUUGAUUCAGUGGGUGGUGGUGCAUGGCCGUUCUUAGUUGGUGGAGCGAUUUGUCUGGUUAAUUCCGAUAACGAACGAGACUCUAGCCUACUAAAUAGGCCACCGGCUUACUGACGUCGGUGGGACUUCUUAGAGGGACAGGCGGCGAUUCAGCCGCACGAAACAGAGCAAUAACAGGUCUGUGAUGCCCUUAGAUGUCCGGGGCCGCACGCGCGCUACACUGAAGUGAUCAGCGUGCAUUACAAACCUGCUCCGUCAGGAGUGGGGAACCCAAUGAACCUUCUUCGUGAUUGGGAUAGGGGAUUGUAAUUAUUCCCCUUGAACGAGGAAUUCCCAGUAAGCGCGAGUCAUAAGCUCGCGUUGAUUACGUCCCUGCCCUUUGUACACACCGCCCGUCGCUACUACCGAUUGAAUGAUUU